CUUUGAUUCAUCAAUGAAAUUGCGUACGGCUCAUUAGAGCAGAUAUCACCUUGUUCGGAAUAUUAUAUGGAUAACUGCGGAAAUACUGGAGCUAAUACAUGUCAUACAUCCCCAACGUAAGGCGGGGUGCAAUUAUUAGAACAGACCAAACGUUUUCGGACGUUGUUUGUUGACUCUGAAUAAAGCAGUUUACUGUCAGUUUCGACUGACUCUAUCCGAAAAGGGUGUCUGCCCUUUCAACUAGAUGGUAGUUUAUUGGACUACCAUGGUUGUUACGGGUAACGGAGAAUAAGGGUUCGACUCCGGAGAGGGAGCCUUAGAAACGGCUACCACGUCCAAGGAAGGCAGCAGGCGCGAAACUUAUCCACUGUUGAGUAUGAGAUAGUGACUAAAAAUAUAAAGACUCAUCCUUUUGGAUGAGUUAUUUCAAUGAGUUGAAUACAAAUGAUUCUUCGAGUAGCAAG
RNAcentral lists this ribosomal RNA (464 nucleotides) under Nematoda sp. Ortega B37-B2. RNAcentral's name for it is "SSU rRNA". It matches the Rfam family "Eukaryotic small subunit ribosomal RNA", at positions 68 to 548 of the family's 1831-position model. The record is from RNAcentral. Lineage: Eukaryota; Metazoa; Nematoda.